UGGGGAAUCUUAGACAAUGGGGGCAACCCUGAUCUAGCCAUGCCGCGUGAGUGAUGAAGGCCUUAGGGUUGUAAAGCUCUUUCAGCUGGGAAGAUAAUGACGGUACCAGCAGAAGAAGCCCCGGCUAACUCCGUGCCAGCAGCCGCGGUAAUACGGAGGGGGCUAGCGUUGUUCGGAAUUACUGGGCGUAAAGCGCACGUAGGCGGACCGGAAAGUUGGGGGUGAAAUCCCGGGGCUCAA
This 240-nucleotide ribosomal RNA is filed under the name uncultured Paracoccus sp. Its description in RNAcentral is "partial 16S ribosomal RNA". It matches the Rfam family "Bacterial small subunit ribosomal RNA", at positions 355 to 612 of the family's 1533-position model. The record is from RNAcentral. Lineage: Bacteria; Pseudomonadati; Pseudomonadota; Alphaproteobacteria; Rhodobacterales; Paracoccaceae.